GUGAGGAAUAUUGGGCAAUGGACGCAAGUCUGACCCAGCCAUGCCGCGUGCAGGAUGACAGCCUUAUGGGUUGUAAACUGCUUUUGUUUGGGAAGAACACUAUGUACGUGUACGUAGGUGACGGUACCAGACGAAUAAGCAUCGGCUAACUCCGUGCCAGCAGCCGCGGUAAUACGGAGGAUGCAAGCGUUAUCCGGAUUUAUUGGGUUUAAAGGGUGCGCAGGCGGACCUAUAAGUCAGCGGUGAAAUCUCUCGGCUCAACCGAGAAACUGCCAUUGAUACUGUAGGUCUAGAGUUUAUUUGACGUGGGCGGAAUGUAGCAUGUAGCGGUGAAAUGCUUAGAUAUGCUACAGAACACCGAUUGCGAAGGCAGCUCACGAAACUAAAACUGACGCUCAUGCACGAAAGCGUGGGGAGCAAACAGGAUUAGAUACCCUGGUAGUCCACGCUGUAAACGAUGAUCACUCGCUGUUGGCGAUAAACAGUCAGCGGCCAAGCGAAAGUGUUAAGUGAUCCACCUGGGGAGUACGCUCGCAAGAGUG
This 542-nucleotide ribosomal RNA is filed under the name uncultured bacterium. RNAcentral's name for it is "bacterial SSU rRNA". It matches the Rfam family "Bacterial small subunit ribosomal RNA", at positions 354 to 896 of the family's 1533-position model. The record is from RNAcentral.